Nicotiana tabacum (common tobacco) is the source of this 623-nucleotide long non-coding RNA. RefSeq lists it as uncharacterized. Lineage: Eukaryota; Viridiplantae; Streptophyta; Magnoliopsida; Solanales; Solanaceae. The record is from RefSeq and is a predicted model, not a curated record.
AAUACAAUCUCCUACACGUAGGACGCCACGUCAAGAAAAUUAAACUACUUAGGCUCCAGGUCAUUUAUUAUGGACACAUAGCAAAAUAAAAUGGGAAAUAAUUAUUAACCUCCCCCCAAAACCAAUUCUUCAUCUGUUUUUCAUCUUUCAAGCUUAACCCAGCACCUUUCAUGACUUCUCCCACGAUGAGCAAUCAUACUCUCUUUUUUUCUUCCUACAAAUCCUAUAAAACCCAUUACAAAUUGCACAAAAUGAGAUCAUAAUUUUUCCCAAGCAUAAAACUCUUCUUGGGAGCUCGAACGCAGAUAAACUUACCCCUACCUUAGAAUUUGGUCUGGACCCAACCGAAUAAAUUAGAUAUGGCCGGAAAUAUAACUUUUCCGGGACCUUUGUUCUACCACAGUACUGGCCGGCGACUUUCGCUCUUUCUUUUAUGUUAUUAGACCCCAAAUAAACUUAGGCAAACUACCAGAUCUUGGCAAAAAAUUUGGCCGAAAUUUGAUUUCGCUUGAAUACUUGCUCUUCCUUCUAAUUAUGAUGUUUCUGUAUUACUUUGACAAUAGUUCACAUAUUUGUUCUUUGUGCAGAUCUGGGGAAUGAGAAAAAUUUCACUUUGGUUUGUA